Molecule: long non-coding RNA, 5971 nt
Filed under: Citrus maxima (pomelo)
Lineage: Eukaryota; Viridiplantae; Streptophyta; Magnoliopsida; Sapindales; Rutaceae
Description: long non-coding RNA (CMAX_LNC001186)
Source: RNAcentral
ACUCAUGGUACUUGAACAGUGGCUGAUUGGUCAACUAGUGAUAUAAGUGGCAACGACUAAACUGUUGAGUCUCUACGUGGGUUUUCAAAAUGAGUCAAGAGUCAAGAAAUUAGCUGUAAACAUGUCUUUGAGAUGAUACAUUGUCAUCAUCAGCAUCAUAUCCUAAUUGACAAAGAAGGAUUGCGAGGGAAACUAAGCAUGUGCCUUCAUUUUCACUUGAAAUAAAGCGCAAGGGAAAGAUCUCAUGUUAUCACAUGAUGCCGUGUGAUCACCUAGAAGCCCUUCCACGUAUAUUUCUUCUCAAAUUGUCUUCUUCUAAUUUCUUGGGCCACCGCGGAACCACAAUGUCAAUGGAUGAGCGAGUGUUGCUCAGCUCGCAGCAUUUGGAGCCGGAGCUCAGCUUCCCUUAUUUGUUGGUCGUUUGGUAGGCGUCGCCAAAGGGCAAAGAGGAUCCUCUGGCGUUCGUGGAGCUGGUCCUCAAUGCGAUUGAUUUCUUCUCCAAGUUGAGCAAGUCUUUGUACCAUAGCCAUAGAAUUAUUUACUUUGGACCGAUGCAAUUCUCUUCUAAAAAUUUCAGGGAGCACUUUUCAUCUGCACCCAAAGAUUUCAUCAUAAUUUUAUUGUAUACACACUUGCUUCAACAGCUAUCACGGCUCACUCUUUUUUUGUUAAAUAUUGUUGUUGCCAUUAAUUUUGACAUAUUUGACGUUAAAAGACAACUUUACCUUUAUUUAUAUUUUUUAAUACAAAAUUACCAAAAAACCACAACACCAAUUUCUAAUUCCAAUUGACUUGUGGGGAUAUUAAAAUUUAAUUUUGGCAUCUUUGACCUUAAAAGAUAAUUUUACCCUUAUUUAUAUUUUUUAAUGCAAAAUUACCAGAAAAACCACAACACUAGUUUCCAAUUCUAACUCACCUAUGUGGAUAUUAAAAUUUCUUAAAGGUUAGAAAAAAAGUAAAAAUGUGUUGUUCAAAAUAUCUCCUCUGCCAUCAUCCAUAAACGUCCAUUCUUCAUAACAAUCUAGUAAACUUGCAAAAAGCAAGAUCCCAGUCAAUCAACCAGCCAAAAUUCUUCAUAAAGUUUAGCUUUUCUUAAAAAAACUUAAAUCUUGAGUUAAAAAUUUUAAUUCCUGAGACCCUAAAUUAACUGGUAUUGAAAGUCGCAUGUUUCUAUAACAAAAAUCUUCAAAAAUAACACUACAAUGAAAAUCUUCAAGUUAAAUAAAAAUUUAUAUUCAUAAUAUUUAUGAAUAAAUUAUAAAUAAUAUAGAGUGGUUUAAUUGAAUAUAGAGUAGUUUACAAUUUUAUAGUGUAUUCACUAAAUAGGAAUCGAAAUUAUUUGGAAACAUAAUGAGUUAGAAUCAGAAUAUGUAGAAUCGAAAUAAGGAAUUAGAAUCAGAAUAAUUUAUUUACUUGAACUGUAGGAAUCGUAAUUAGAAUGAGUUGUUUACGUGUUUACUUUGUCUUAGAAUCAAAAUCGGAAUUAGUUAAAUUGUAACAAAUUACUAUAAAAUCCUUAAUUAAUUUUUAUCAUAAUUAUUAUUUCUUAUUUUAACUAUUGUGAUUAUUAUUAAUAAAAAAAUUAUUUAUUAACAAUAAUUAUUGUUAAUUAUUAUUAUUAUUAAAAAGUUAACUAAAAAUUAUUAUUAAUUAUUGUUAAUAGAUUAAUUAAUUAUAAUACUUUUUAUUCUUGUUAUUAAUAAUAAUAAUAAUCCAUUUAUAAUUUAUAAUUUUAUUUAUAAUUAAGUGGAAAUUAAAGUGGUAGGGUCCCAAUCAAAAUGUGGCACGAACACAUUUAUCCAACAGCAAGAUUUUUCGAUUGCCAUCCCCACUAAUUUGGUGUAAUGACUAAGAGUUAAUUGAAAAAUAUUUAGUUUAAUUUUACAUUUAAUUUUUUUCAUUUUUGUAUUAAGAAUUAUUUGAAAAAUUAUUAUAUUCCCUUAAUUUUACCAGAAUCCCGUUGACUUAGCCCCGAGUCUCUUGAUUAAAGCGUUUUAAAAAAAAAAAAGUUCAAAAGAUUCAGAUAGCUCACUCGAUUAUAGGGCGUCUGCACCUUACGCUCGCUUUUGUUGUGCUGCCAGUAGCUGCUGCUUCCUUCAAGACCGAGCUCUCUGCCGCUGUUGCUUCCUUCAAGACCGAGCUCUCUAAGCCCCUCACUGUCGAUUUUGACCUUUGCUUCCUUUUGGCUUCACGAUCUAGAAGCCAUCGUCGCUUCAUUCAAGCCAUCACUUCACGAAAGAAAAAAUAAUAAUAAUAAUAGUGGUAAUAAUAAAUACUCUUACAGAUCUCUUCUUCAUCAAAUUUGUAAAAUUUAGAGAAAAUGCAAAACAGCAAUAAUGAUGAAGCUUCGGUGACAAAGACGACGGAGAAGCCGCCGCUGCCGAAGCGAUCGAAGACGAUCUCGACGACACUCACUUCCCAGGCCCACUUUUUCCCGCCGUUCGCCAAACCGACAAGCCGUUCGAUCUCCGCGUGUCCCUUGACUCCGAUGCUGUGGCGUCGUCUUCUUCGUCGUCGUCGUCGAGUAAUGGGUUUAACGAAAGAGACUGGAUGUACCCGUCGUUCUUGGGCCCGCAUAUGGGUCGGAGGCGGAUCAAAGUCAAACCCAAUAAGCUUGAAUUUAAAGGAAAUGAGGAGCAGAAGAAGAUUCAAGAGUUGGGUUCGAAGAAAGAAGAGAAGGAGGUGGCGAGUUUUUCAGUGACUCAGACGAGUUCAGUGAGUCAGUUGAGUGGAAAGACUCGUGGGUUAAAGAGCUCCUUGAUGACGUAUUACAUGGUUAGUAGUUUGAGUUGAGCUCAACUGCUGUAAAUUUCUUUAUAUUUUAGCUUAAAACGUUGACAAAUUAAACUUAAAAAAUCAAUGAAAUGUAAAGCUGGUAUUUUUCUUUUUCUUUUUUUCUUUCUAUCACUAAAGAAGAUAAAGAAUCGUGAUCAUAAAAUCUAAGUAUUACGAAUGCAAUCUUCAUCGCAAUUGAACAUUGUAGGACUAUUUUCUAAAGUUGAAUGAAAUCAACAUAUUCACGCAUACAGCCCAGCAAAAGAAAACUUCACUCAAUGAAAACCGACGCCAAUGCUUAAUUAAAGUCAAACACAUGACAUUAAGAAAUUUCUAAUAAUCUUAGAAAUAAGCUAGUCCAUAAUCACUUGAGAUCAUUUCCUCACCCCAUAAUCCAUCAACUAACUGAGAAAUGACAACUCACCAAUUAGUUUUUCAUCAGAACUCAUAACACAGCACUUACCCAUUCACAUAAUAAAAGUAUUGACAUUAAUGAGAGCGUAACUUAAUCAAAUAAUAAUCCAUUAAUAAAAUGAAAAUUAACAACUUAUACCUUCAUAGAUGAUUCUUGUGCACUUGACUUUCUAAGCAAAGAACGUCACUAUUCUUUUCAAGAAGGCAGCCACCACAAAGCAUAGAAGCUUCUUCAUAUAAUAGUACAACAAUCAAAACCUGAAACAUACGCAUUAGUAUUAAUUUAUUAUAAUUUAGCAGCAGUAAAUAUUUUUAUAAAAAAGUUAUCUGCAGUAAAUAUAAGAAUAACAAAGAAUAAAAUCUUAGAUCAACAACAGAGAACCUAAACUCUACAACUUGCUUGAACUACUAUCAACAUCAUACUGCAUAAUCAAAUAGACAAAAUAGUUUAAUAUAUAAUUUGUAUUGACCUGCAUACUAUCACGUAAAAAAUAUUGUAACAAAAACAAAACAUAAAAUUGUUUGGUGAUCACAAUGGAUCCUGGAAUGACAACAACUACAUUAUUAUAAUGAGUUUGACAUGUCAUUGUACAUGGAUUCGUUAUGAUGAAUCAUGAAACACCGUUGAGUAGUUAAUUCAGCCACUUUUCACCUAUAAAUUUGAUGGCAUACUUUGAAUACACAACAUGGUUAUAAAUAUAAGUUUAGAGAAUUUUUGUGGGAAAGAAUAAUUUUGUUGACAAAAGAUUAAGUACAAAAAUUAUAACAUCUCCAUUUUUAAUAUAGCUGACAUAAGUUAUUCGAGUGAAAAAAAAAAAAGAGGGAACUUAGAUACGCCAUAUUAAAUAGGGCAGUAAUAAAAAAAAUCUAAUUGACAUAAAUUAUUUGAGCAAAUGACAAAUUUUUGCUAAGAAACUCGUUUUCAUUUUUUCCCAAAUAAUAAUCAAUGUUUUUUUCCACUACGCAUCGAAAGAGCUCGCAUCGACAUCAAUCAUGAACCAGUCGUGGCCUAGCUAUAUUGCCUGCAUUAUGAAUACCACCUAUGACCUUUACAGCCUAACCGUUUAUCUCAGUCUAUUUUUAAUACUCAGUCACAGGUCCAGACCAUUCAAGUUCAGGACAUGACCCUACUGGUCCCAUUAUAUAUCUAUUUAAAUUUCUUUUUUUUUAGAAUGUCUAUUUAGAUUUCUUAAAUUUAAAAAACAAAUCAACUUCUAGCCCUUUAAAAAAAAAAAAAUCUAAAAUCAACAAAGCUAUUAAUUUGAAGAUAUUUUGAAUUCCAAUUCCCAAUUAAAAUCAUGAAUAUAUCAGCUAUAUCAUAGCUUCAGCAUAACUAGUAAGUGGUGACAUCAAAUUUUCAAAUAUUUGGAACUGGAAGCAAAUAUCUAGUUAAUGAUUAAAGUAGUUGACGAAUAAAACCUCUCGUAUUAUCAUAGAGGCUACCCCAAUAGCUUGCAAUAACUAUGUAUGGUGCAGUAAAGUUUCAGGAUAGAUGAAUAAACUAAAAAGCAAAAGAGAAAUAUCAGUUGCAGCAAGAACUACGUCAUCUCCACCUCGAUUAUUAUUCAAAUAUUAACACCAAAUGUCACUGAACAACACAAGAGAAACAUGAUCCAUAUUUUAAAUGUAUCUGAAUAGCAUAAAUAUGAAAAUCAUUGCAGAAAGUAAAAAAAAAAAAAGAAAAAAGUAAAGAGAAAUUUAUCUCACAGCAUUCCUAUUAUUAAAAAAUAUCAAAUAAAUGUGCUCCGAGAUAUAACUUCAUGCACAUUCAGAAGUUCUCAGGCCAAAGAACAUUAUAGCAACUACAAAAACUCAUGAGCCAGCAGGUCUUGUCCCAGUACAAGGUGAAGCAACUAAAAUUAUGCUUUAAGAACUUUAUAUAUAUAUAUCACGAACGCAGGAAGAAAAUUAUUUCUAUAUCAAAAUCAAGAUCACCCAACCAAACAAUGGUACCUUCCAAUAUACCUAGUGUAUGUAUAUAGGCAUCCAUUGAUUGAUACUUUGAAUUUAAUUAAUAAAUCAAUUUCAGGUGUCAUGUUUCCACAUUAAAGAGAGAUAAUAACAAUUAACUAGAUAUGACAGGACUGGAUAAAAAUUUGCUCAAAAUAUACUACAAAGAUCAAAUUUUAUUACUUUUCACCUGCUGUCAUUUCUCUCCAACGUCAGAUCAUGACCUCGAGCAACUCUUUCGGCUUUCUUCGCCCAUUUUUCUUCUUUUUACAGCAUGAAGCUAAUACGAAGCCAAAUGAAAAGUAGAUUAGUCAUUUCAAAUUCAAUUUAAUUGUCAAUUGAAAAGUUCAAUUGUUACCUUCAUCAGCUGUAGAAUCAAUAGUUAAUGAAAUAUACAAUAAGAAGAGUAAAAAAUUUCACCUGCAAAUUAGGACAGCCGAGGAAGCAUCCGUAAACAUAAGAGUAAUUAUAUCACUCUGAAAUUUCAUAAGAGAGAAUUAGGACAGCAGCGAAAGAAAUAAACAAAGCAAUUUGCAAAGGACACAGGCAUAAACAUGAUAGUAAGAAUAAAAUAUCAAACUGUAAGAAGAAGCGAGAAAAACAAAUCAAAAACAAACUGAGAAGCAGGAAGAGCUGUGAUGGUAAAUUCUUCAUCUAAAGCAGUUGAAGAACGAGCAAUGGAUACCGGUCCUUCUUCGUGCUAUCGAGAAAGGAGUCAGAGUUGAGAUCGAGAGAACAACGGAGACCGAUUCUUCGUCUCCGUAAUUUUCCCCUUUUUCUAAAAUGCUAUUUCGCAUUUCCUUUGCUUUUUGGUUUCCGUAUUUCGAUUUUG